RNAcentral lists this long non-coding RNA (2125 nucleotides) under Olea europaea subsp. europaea. The stretch from base 485 to 572 matches the Rfam family "Small nucleolar RNA Z159/U59". The record is from RNAcentral. Lineage: Eukaryota; Viridiplantae; Streptophyta; Magnoliopsida; Lamiales; Oleaceae.
CUAUGGAUAUGGACUAACUAUCCAAUCCAAAAGGCUCUAAAAAGCCUAAUCACAAUUCAGAAUUCCUAGGGCUUCUGAAACCUCAACGCCGCUUCACUUUCCACUAUAUAUACAAGCACACCGCACGCAGCAAUUCUUGCUAGCAGGCGCCGGCAUGCGGUAAGGGAUUAACUUUCCGAUCAGUAUUUAUUAAUUUGAAUUGUAGCAUAUGAUUUGUCUCUAUGAUGAUGAAUUUGUUUUACAAAUGACCUUUUAUCUCCUGAGAAGUUUUCAGUGCUGAAUAAUUUUGGAGACCUGAACUGAAGAGACAAAAUUAAUUUUCUUUUUUUUUUUUCCGUAAUCAUUUGAUUUUUAUAAGAGUCCUGAUCUUGCAUAUGUAUUGAUGGUGCUGGAUCUGGAUUCCCGUUUUCUUCUAUUUUUUGGCUAAUAUUUAUUUGCUUAAACAGGGUUUUACUUUGUGUUUUUGUUUGAUUCUUCGUAAUGGGCCUCUGAUGAUGACUAAAUUAUAAUACUUUCGUUCUUCUGAAAAUAUUUCCAUGUGGAAGAUUUAUGGAGACCUGAACUGAAGAGGCUUUUCAUUUAAAUUCAUUUUCACUGUGGAUUUUAAUAUCUAUUUUUCUUGAGAUAUAAAAAAAAAUAAAUUUUAUGUUAUUUAUUUGAUUCAAAUUACAUUAUGAAUUCAGACAUUUUCAAGAAUUAUGCAAUCUCACUGAUUAAAUUGCAUCCAUGUAUGAGUAAGCAAGUUUUCUUCCCAAAUGCAAUCUGUUUUAUUAGAAAUUUAAAUUGCUAAUAAUAAUAAUAAUAAUAAUAAUAAUAAUAAUAAUAAUAAUAAUAAGAAUGAUAAAAUUUAUGUCAAAUGACGAGUGAAAACAUUGUCUUUCGUUCUUCUGAGAUUAUUCUUGCUGAAAAUUUUAUUGAAUGACAUGAAGAGACAGAUAAUUUCUUUAUUAUAAAUUUUAUUAUUACUUCAGUUUUGAGCCUGAAGAUUAGUAAUACAGUUUUUUUCAAAUGACGAGUGAAAAUAUUAUCUUUCGUUCUUCUGAGAUUAUUCUUGCUGAAAGUUUUAUUGAAUGACAUGAAGAGACAGAUAAUUUCUUUAUUAUAAAUUUUAUUUAUUACUUCAGUUUUGAGCCUGAAGAUUAGUAACACAGUUUUUUUCAGCAUUCUUAGUUUUCAAUUUAUAUGUUUCAAAGCUGCAGUUUUUUAUUUGAAUUGGGGGAUUCUAAUUUUAUUUUUGUGUGAUAAUAAGCAUUUUGUUGCUUCACCUUUUUAUUUAUCUUUAGAAAUACAAUUUCUUUUGAGUAUGUUCCUCGGUGAUGAACAAUUCAAGAUGACGAGUCUGAUUGAAAUCCAUUCUUAACAACUGUGAUGUCAAUUCGAGGCAUUUGUCUGAGAGGAACAAGAGGAAACCCCUUAGCAUAGUAUCCCCUAAAAUUAUUUUGAAAUAUUUUAAAUAACCUUGAUUUAUUUUAGUUCUUAAUGUAGAUAAUAUGUUUUAAAAUUUGGAAUGACUCUAAGGAUGAUCAGAAAACUUUCGCCUUUCCUGAGAUGAUAUCGUGAAGAAAAUCUCUGGAGACCUGAGCUGAAGAGACGUGAAAAUUUAUUGAAUAAUUUUUGGUGUACAUAAUAGUGUUCAUAAUGCACACAUGGCCUCCUUUAUUGGAGGGGCGCUGUCUGUACCCAUAGCAAAUCCCAAAUUUAUUUGGCUAAUGCCCUUGGUACAGGCCCUGAACGUUCAGGCUCUCUCUAUUUGAUUUCAUUCCAAUGUUACUGUUGUAAAGUAGAAAUAAAUUGGGAGUCCAACACCUUAGUUGUACUUCUGGAUUUGAUUUUGACCUUGCUUGAGUUUGACCUACUUAUUUUGCCUUUGAAAAUUCUCUUGAUUCAUCUGAUCCCAAUGGAGAACGAGCAAAAACAUGUGAAACUAAGGGUCCAUUUGAUUGUAAAAAUGAAAUUUUGGUGGAAAGAAAACGAAUUUUAGAGAAUUUGAGUUGUAUAAAAAUUGUUUUAUUAGGAAUUGUCAAUUAUUGUGUUUAAUUGGUAUAAUGUUUCACUUAGAAUGAAUAAAAGUGUUUUUUGAUAUUCGUUUGAUUUUGUUUUACAUGAUAAUUGUCAAUUAAAGGGA